CGCUCCUCAGUACGAUAGGAACCGGAGCG
Molecule: unclassified non-coding RNA, 29 nt
Filed under: synthetic construct
Source: RNAcentral